UACAGAGGGGGCUAGCGUUAUUCGGAAUUAUUGGGCGUAAAGGGCGCGUAGGCGGCCAUGCGUGUCUUCCGUGAAACCCCUCGGCUUAAUUGAGGACGUGCGGAAGAAACUGCAAGGCUCGAGUCCGGGAGAGGGGGGUGGAAUUCCCAGUGUAGCGGUGAAAUGCGUAGAUAUUGGGAAGAACACCAGUGGCGAAGGCGGCUCUCUGGACAUUUCCUGACGCUGAGGCACGAAAGCCAGGGGAGCAAACGGG
Molecule: ribosomal RNA, 253 nt
Filed under: uncultured bacterium
Lineage: Bacteria
Description: partial 16S ribosomal RNA
Rfam family: Bacterial small subunit ribosomal RNA
Source: RNAcentral